GAGAGGUAUUAGCAGUAGAAAGAGGGAAGUGCUCAUGCCAUUAUACAGAACACUGGUGAGACCUCACUUGGAGUAUUGUACACAGUAUUGGAGACCGUAUCUUCAGAAGGAUAUUGAUACCUCAGAGAGGGUUCAGAGAAGGGCUACUAAACUGGUUCAUGGAUUGCGGGAUAAAACUUACCAGGAAAGGUUAAAGGAUCUUAACAUGUAUAGCUUGGAGGAAAGACGAGACAGGGGAUAUGAUAGAAACAUUUAAAUAUAUAAAGGGAAUCAACACAGUAAAGAAGGAGACUAUAUUUAAAAGAAGAAAAACUACCACAACAAGAGGACAUAGUCUUAAAUUAGAGGGACAAAGGUUUAAAAAUAAUAUCAGGAAGUAUUACUGAGAGGGUAGUGGAUGCAUGGAAUAGCCUUCCAGCUGAAGUGGUAGAGGUUAACACAGUAAAGGAGUUUAAGCAUGCAUGGGAUAGGCAUAAGGCUAUACUAACUAUAAGAUAAGGCUAGGGACUAAUGAAAGUUUUUAGAAAAUUGGGCAGACUAGAUGGGCCGAAUGGUUCUUAUCUGCCGUCACAUUCUAUGUUUCUAUGUUUCUAAACACACUACUGUUGUAUCCAUCUAAAAAAAAAACAAAAAAAACAACCAUCUCUUGGCCCGUCUUCCCCAUGUAAGUACCAUCCCAUAUUCUUCUCCCUUUCUCCUCACAGCUUAUGGGAUUACAUAUCUAAAACCAAUGGACACUUGUUCAACUCUAAUUCUCAACCCUCUUCAAUCUUGUCACCUCUAUUUUACUGAGACUGCAUUGUAAGUUACUAAUGACAUAACCACAGCUAAUCCAAAGGCCCCUUCUCCACAGUAAUUCUCCUAGAACUCUCUGCUGCCUUCUUUUUCCAAACUUUUUCCACCCUUGAUCUUUGUGACAUUGCCCUUCCAUGGUUCCUAUCCUAUCUCUCCCAAUAAUCCUUCAGUGUCUCCUUUUCUAGUAACACAUUUUCACCUAAUCAUGUCUCAGAUGGAAUGCCCCAAGUUUCUGUCAUUGUCCCAUUCUGUUUGCUCUUUAUAGUGUCUCUCUUAGAAAGAUUAUCAAUUCUUUUGGAUGGCACUACUACUGUUAUGGUGAUGACGCUCAAAUCAACCUCUACUCCUUUAUUUCUCUCCCACUCUCCUGGUAUACAUCAUCAGUUGUCUCUCUUCUAUCUCUGAUUGCAUGUCCCUCUGCUUUCUAAAAUGCAAUAUUUUUAAAACUGAGAUACUUAUUUUCCCUCCUUAUAAUACUAAUCACCUGCUGUUGCUCUCCCUACCAGUUGAUUGUACAUGCAUCAGUCUAUCCUUGCAAUCAUAACGAGUAUGUCACCAUAUUCUGCCAAUUUUACUUAAUAAAACAUUGCCCGCAUCUACCUUUUCAAGCAAAAUUCUACUAAGGAGCUUGUUCAUGCUCUUGUAAUUUCUCUAAUUGACUACUGUAAUUCUCUCAUAAUUGAUCUAUUCAGAAACUAUACUGGCUUUCUACAGUAAAUAAUGAUUGUGUCUGCCAGGCUUAUUCUUCUCUUCUCUCGCUCCUCUCACACAUUACCCUUCUGUCAAUCAUUACCUUGGUAUCCUGUAUCCUGUAGGAUUCAAUUUAAAAUAUGAACUCUUAUCUACAAAGCUCUCAACAAUUCUAACUCUUGCUACAUUACUUCACUAAUUCAUUGGUACCCCACAUCUUGUCCAUUCUGCUGUGUGUGUGACAUUCUCCUGUCCACUGCUCAUACCCAAAUACGAUGACAAUAUGUAAAGGCCAAUAAUAAUGAUACAUAAUAUUUUAAUCAUAUAGGAUGUAUAAAGAUUUAACUGUUUUUAGCAUCUUUCCACCAAGCCCGAGUCUGAUGUUUUUUUUCAGUUAGUGGUGGACAAAAAUAAACAGUAGAAGGGUUGGAAACCAGUCAAUAUGCAGACGUUAGCAGCUUCCAUAGANNNNNNNNNNNNNNNNNNNNNNNNNNNNNNNNNNNNNNNNNNNNNNNNNNNNNNNNNNNNNNNNNNNNNNNNNNNNNNNNNNNNNNNNNNNNNNNNNNNNAAAGUCUCACGUGUAAAACAGUACCCCCUAUGUACAAGUUUUAUGGCGUUUUGGGAAGUUACAGGUCAAAUAUAGCACGUUACAUUUGAAAUUGAAAUUCGCCAGAUUGGUUACGUUGCCUUUGGGACUUUAUAGUAGCCCAGGAAUGAAAUUUACACCCAUAAUGGCAUACCAUUUGCAAUAGUAGACAACCCAAGGUAUUGCAAAUGGGGUAUGUCCAGUCUUUUUUAGUAGCCAUUUGGUCACAAACACUGGCCAAAGUUAGCGUUAGUAUUUGUUUGUGUGUGAAAAUGCAAAAAAUGCCAAUUUUGGCCAGUGUUUGUGACUAAGUGGCUACUAAAAAAGACUGGACAUACCCUGUUUGCAAUACCUUGGGUUGUCUACUAUUGCAAAUGGUAUGCCAUCAUAGGGGUAAUUUAUAUUCUUGUGCUACUAUAGGGUCUCAAAGGCAACGUAACCAAUCUGGCGAAUUUUAAUGUGAAAAAAAAUGAAACGCAAGCCUUAUAUUUGACGCUGUAACUUUUGAAAACACCAUAAAACCUGUACAUGAGGGGUACUGUUGUACUCGGGAGACUUCACUGAACACAAAUAUUUGUGUUUCAAAACAGUAAAAAGUAUCAUAGCAAUAAUAUUGUCCGCUUAAUGCUGUUUGUGCGUGAAAAAUGCAAAAACGCCACUUUACUGGCGAUAUCAUCGUUGUAAUACAUUUUACUGUUUUGGAAGUUACCCAAUAUUUGUGUCUGCUUUGAAGUUCCCGAGUAGAACAGUACCCCCAUGUGCCAGGUUUUUAUGGUGUCUCGGAAAGUUAUAGGGUUAAAUAUAGUGCUAGCUAAAUUAAAUUCCCUUUACUUUCGCAUGGGUUGUCAUGCAGGUCCUGCUAAUUGUAAUUAAUUAAGAUACCCACUAUGUAAAAAUAUUACAUAAAUAUAUAUGUAGAAUCAAUAUAUGUAUAUAUAUACGUAUGUAUAUAUAUGUAUAUAUCUAUAUAAUUUUUUGCAAUAUUUUUAUUUAUAUAUAGGUAUAUAUAAAGUGAUAUAUACGUAUAUAUUUAUGUAUAUAGAUAUAUAUAUUAUUUCGUUCUACGUGUAUUUUGAUAUAUAUAUAUAUAUAUAUUAAUUUCUCAAAACAGUUAGAACGAAAUAACACACAUCUAUAUAUUUUUUAAUUAUUUAUUUUUAAUUAUUUUUGUAAUUUUAUUUUUUAACGUAUUUACAUUUUAAUUUUUUAUAUAAUAUAUAUAAAUAUAUAUAUAACAAUAAUUAUAUAUAUAUUUAAUCAGUAUCAGUGUACGUGUAAUUUGAUAUUAAUAUAUAUAUAUAAUUAUAUAUAUAUUAAUAGUAAAAUACACCUAGACGGUGUAUAUGUGUAUAUAUAUAUAUACUUUGAUCAUAUAUAUAUAAUAUAUAUAUAUGAUCUAAGUAUAUAUUAUUUAUUUUUUUACACUAUUUAUUUAUUUCAUUUUUAUUUUCAGCCAGCAGGGGACCACCUGUCAUUACAGGCAGCCCCCCUGCCGGCAAUACAGAAGCCAGCUAUCCCCGGCCAUGUGAUUGUGGGGUCCUCGCUAGGACCCCACUCUCACACGGCCGGGGGGCUUCCUGGAGGACGGUCGUGCCGCGGGGGGUAAGUACAGAAAGACCGGAGGGCGUACUAUUACGCCCGGCGGCGUUUAGAGCCGCCUAUUAGAGGACGUAAUAGUACGCCCUCCGGUCUUAAGGGGUUAAUAUUGUACUUGUAUAAUUACAGCUUUCGCGUGUAUUGUUUUUAUACACAUACAUACUGUAUUCCAUUCUAUUUUUUGUUGCAUGUGAUAUGGGUAUUUUAGCUAAAACAUUUCACCUUGACCACACUAUUAUUUUACUUAUUAAAUCGAAUUGAUGGAAGAUGCAGGAGUUACCUAAGAUGGCCGGAGGAGAUACUUGGUGUAAAAUGUAAUGAAUAUUAGGCACAAUAUCGAUUUUAUUUAGACUGAAUUAGAGCCACAUCAUAAAUCCUAUAUAUUUGUAAUAUUCUUAACCUCUUCCUGACAAUAUAUUAUUAGUCCCUCUUAACAUCUCUUUUCAAACUCCUAUAUGUUGAUACUGCCUUAUAUUUUACUUACUUUGGGCUCAUUUCCAAACUUGCUGGUAAAUAGCACUCACAAACUGUCUCCAUUAACAGCAGCUGGUAUUUAGUGGCAGCUGCUAUAUACUGGCUGGUCGCCAAUAAUGUCCGCUUGCAAAGAUUCCAACCAGUUGCAGAACAUCCACAUGCUGGUAAAGCACCAGAGCACAUGCUGUGUAAGUUGUCGCCAUAGCAACCACACUCUGCAUGCAAGAAGGAUCACUCUGAGAAUGUGAAUUCCCUCCCUGUAAUUAGCCUUGAUGGGAGAUAGCUACGCUGUAUAGAAAUAUAUUAAUAUGUAAUGUUUUGCUAUGUCAGAUACAUAGCUAUGUAACUUUUGAGAUAGAUUUAGGUUAUGAAAAACACUCAUUUAAAUGAAAUAUGCAAUUUACUAAUAGAAUGAUUUAAUUUUUUAAUGGUGUAUGUGUGGCCUUUUCAUUAAUUUUUUUGCUCUUUGCUAUGACUUAAAAUGCUCAGAUGUGUGCUUUAGAGAUUAAUUGUAAUGUAAUAAAGUUAACAUGUAUUAAAGCCUUCCAUUCUCUACGUUGCCCUGCAGUGGCCACCUUCCAUACUAAACUCACAUCUAAGGAAAUAUUUUUUUCUCUUUCACAUCUCUCUUUCUCAAUUUAUUUUGGACUAUGCCUCUCCUACCCUUGAGACCUUAUCCCCAGUUACUGAAUAGCAGGUGUCUGCACUAUUCCUUUACUCUCACUUCUAUUCCCUCUCGCAUUAUCAUUUCUCUUCCCUUGCCUUGUGCCAUCCUUAAAACAUAUCUUCAAUUGCUCUCUUUCUUCUCUGAUUGUCCUCACCAUCACCAGGCAUUUUGCACAGUCUGUUGCUCUGCAUAAUUCAUUUUCUGCACUUUCAGAGUGUAAUGGUGUUGUGGAGAGAGGCACUAAGACUAGUGGUGUUGUAGAGAGAGUCACUGAGGCUAGUGGUGUUGUGGAGAGAAGCACUAAGACUAGUGGUGUUGUAGAGAGAGUCACUGAGGAUAGUGGUGUUGUGGAGAGAGGCACUGAGGCUAGUGGUGUUGUGGAGAGAGGCACUGAGGCUAGUGUUGUUGUGGAGAGAGGCACUGAGACUAGUGGUGUUGUGGAGACCGGCUUGGAGACUAUGGUGAGGCCUAAUAGAAAACAGUUGUUGUUGGGUGAUUCCAUUAUAAGAGGUGUGGAGAUGGACAAUGGUGGUCUUGUGAGGUGUCUUCCCGGAGCUACUGCUCACAGAGACGUAUCUGUAAUAUUGUUAAGCAAGCAAAGCAGGAAGGGGAAUUGGAUGUACUUGUCCAUCUAGGGACAAAUGACUUGGCUUGCAAUGAGGUUUCAGAGGUUAAGGAAGUUUUUAGUGUUUUUGCCAAUGAUAUACUGCAGGUUGCUUCCACACUGUCAUUCUCUGAAGUUCUGCCUGUGCAUAACACUCAGAACAACAGGUGGAUGCGUAUUAGGGACUUUAAUUUGUGGCUUGGUGAAUGGUGCCGGGAGCAAGGAUUUGGCUUUAUUUCUCAUGGUAGCUCUGUUUGGAAUGGAGAUAAGCUGUACAAAAAAGAUGGUUUGCAUCUUUCUCAAAAGGAAACAAAUGUUCUCAGUGAGCAGUUCAGAGGUUUUGCUAGGAUGUAUUUAAACUAGGAGGGGGGGCAAAAGGGUAAUAAAACAUCAAUCCAAUUGUCCCCCAAAACAAGGACAGAAGGUGCCUGUAGCAAGUGUGUUAAAAAUGAUAAGCUUAGAGUCAUGUCUACAAAUGCUCGCAGUUUAGGGAAUAAGAUCCAUGAACUUGUGGCAAUAAUGGCAACUGAUAGUGUAGAUUUAGUCGCUGUUACUGAGACAUGGUACAAUGAGAAAAAUGACUGGGACAUAGCAAUACCAGGGUACUCUUUAUAUAGGAAAGAUAGGGAAGGCAAGAAAGGGGGAGGGGUGGCCUUGUAUGUGAAGGAUAGCAUAAAAUCUAGCCUAAUAAAAGUUAGUGAGGCAAACAUAGAGUCCGUUUGGGCUACGUUAGAAUUUGGUAAUCACACAGUAACUCGUGUAGGUGUGAUUUAUAGGCCCCCAGGACAAAUUGAAGAGUUAGAUAAUCUACUAGUUGAGGAAAUAGCUAAAAUGACAAUGAAGGGGGAAGUUAUCAUCAUGGGUGACUUUAAUCUUCCUGAUGUAAAUUGGAAAACAAAAUUAGCUACUUGUGCCAGGAGCACACAUAUUCUAAACUCCCUACUGGGUUUGUCUCUAAAACAAGUUGUUGAGGAGCCAACUCGUAAAGAGGCCAUACUAGAUUUAGUGUUAACAAAUGGAGAUUUAGUAUCAGAUGUUACUGUAGGUGAAAGUUUAGGAUCCAGUGAUCAUGAGUCAGUGUGGUUUAAUAUAAGAACAGUGACUGAGUCACACCACACAAAAACAAAAGUUUUAGACUUUAGAAAAACAGACUUUUCUAAAAUUAGAAUAUGGGUAGAGGAGUCAUUAUCAGACUGGAGCAAUUUAAAUGGAGUCCAAGAAAAAUGGGAUUAUUUAAAAGUUGCACUAUUGAAGGCAACAGAAAAUUGCAUUAGGCUUGUCAGUAAAAGCAAAAAAUUCAAGAAACCACUGUGGUACUCCGCAGAUGUGGCCAAAAUAGUUAAAAACAAAAAGUUAGCAUUUAGGAAUUAUAAAAAAACCAGAGUGAGGGAGACAAAAUGAUCUAUAAGAUUAGGCAGAAAGAGGCUAAGCAAGUUAUAAGAGCUUCCAAAUCACACACAGAAGAGAAAAUAGCACAGUCAGUAAAAAAGGGGGAUAAAACAUUUUUUAGAUACAUAAAUGAGAAAAGAAAAGUAAAACAAGGAUUAGUUAGAUUAAAAACAAAAGAAGGAAGGUAUGUAGAAGAGGAUAAAGGUCAGGCUGACUGCCUCAAUGAAUAUUUUGUUCUGUAUUUACAGAAGAAAAUGAAGGAAAGGGACCUCAGUUGAGAAAAAGGAUAAAUGAGUCAUUUAUUACACGUGAGUUUACAGAGGAAGAGGUUCUAUCUCAACUGUCAAAAGUAAAGACAAAUAAGUCAAUGGGACCUGAUGGAAUACACCCAAAGCUAUUAAAAGAGCUUAGUGGUGUACUAGCAAAACCAUUAACAGAUUUAUUUAACCAAUCAUUGUUAACAGGUGUAGUCCCAGAAGAUUGGAAGUUAGCGAAUGUUGUGCCCAUUUACAAGAAAGGUAAUAGGGAGGAGUCGGGCAACUAUAGGCCAGUAAGCCUUACUUCAGUAGUGGGGAAAGUGAUGGAAACCAUGUUAAAGGAUAGGAUUGAUGAACAUCUAAAAACACAUGGAUUUCAAGAUCAGAGACAACAUGGGUUUACUUCAGGGAGAUCAUGCCAAACUAAUCUUAUUGAUUUUUUUGAUUGGGUAACUAAAAUUAUAGAUCAGGGUGGUGCAGUAGACAUUGCUUACCUAGAUUUCAGUAAGGCUUUUGACACUGUUGCACAUAGAAGGCUUAUCAAUAAACUGCAAUCUUUAAGUUUGGAUUCCAAUAUUGUUGAAUGGGUAAGGCAGUGGCUGAGUGACAGGCAACAGAGGGUUGUAGUUAAUGGAAUAUAUUCGAAGCUUGGACUUGUCACCAGUGGGGUACCUCAGGGAUCUGUACUUGGACCCAUUCUCUUUAAUAUUUUUAUUAGUGAUAUUGCAGAAGGUCUUGAUGGUAAGGUAUGUCUUUUUGCUGAUGAUACUAAGAUAUGUAACAGGGUUGAUGUUCCAGGAGGAAUAAGCCAAAUGACAAAUGAUUUAGGUAAACUAGAAAAAUGGUCAGAAUUGUGGCAACUGACAUUUAAUGUGGAUAAGUGCAAGAUAAUGCAUCUUGGACGUAAAAACCCAAGGGCAGAGUACAGAAUAUUUGAUAAAGUCCUAACCUCAACAUAUGAGGAAAGGGAUUUAGGGGUGAUUAUUUCUGAUGACUUAAAGGUAGGCAGACAAUGUAAUAGAGCAGCAGGAAAUGCUAGCAGAAUGCUUGGUUGUAUAGGGAGAGGUAUUAGCAGUAGAAAGAGGGAAGUGCUCAUGCCAUUAUACAGAACACUGGUGAGACCUCACUUGGAGUAUUGUACACAGUAUUGGAGACCGUAUCUUCAGAAGGAUAUUGAUACCUUAGAGAGGGUUCAGAGAAGGGCUACUAAACUGGUUCAUGGAUUGCGGGAUAAAACUUACCAGGAAAGGUUAAAGGAUCUUAACAUGUAUAGCUUGG
RNAcentral lists this long non-coding RNA (8336 nucleotides) under Pelobates cultripes (western spadefoot toad). Lineage: Eukaryota; Metazoa; Chordata; Amphibia; Anura; Pelobatidae. The record is from RNAcentral.